UGUUAAAAGUCAUCCCCUCCAUUAGUUGACAUAACGUUUUUAUAUAAGUUACUUCCAAUUAACAUAAUGAGUUAUGUAAUUUCAACUUAAUUUCAUGAGUUAUUGGCAUUUCAACUCAAGAAUGUGAGUCAGUUCAAUGAAACAUAAAUUUAAAUGUGUGAACUUAACUCGACAAUCUGAGUUUUAAAAUGGUAACCGGAUCUUAUAAAAACUGAUCACCACUGGCAAUAUUAAUGCGAGAUCCAAAUAGUGCCGGAAAUUCGCUCUUUAUCUGAUAAGGGACUAAAUAUGAUGUAAGAUUUAGUAAGACUUUAUAAAGUUCUCCAUCCCAGUUAGAAUUGCACAUUAAAUGAAGAAGAGGAACACCACCUGACCAGAUUAAGGACGUCGAAAGCAAAGUCGCGGAUGAAUACCAUUUUUUCCAAGACCUGGAUCAGUCCCACAGGCUGUUCAAAUUUGGCGGGGCAUUUUUUCUAAACGCGAAGCGAGCUGGAGCCACAGAAGUAAGGUAAGCUGCAUUUGUCGUUUUUUGGUAAUGCCAUCCAUUUUUAAAAUAUGUUAAGAGCUAAAAGUUCGUGUCUCUGUUACAUGUUUAAACACAGGACAUAAAACAACAGCUUGCUAACUGUCGAGGGCAGGAGUUAGUUAAUGCAGCUAGCUAAACGCAGUAUGCUACUCGGUUAAGCUUAUAGAACUUUUCUUAAGAGAAAAUACAAGCAGCUACCACGAUUUUUGUAUUGUACACUUCCUCAGAAGCACAUAUGUGGCGCUUGGUCAAAGUUUUGCAUCGACGUGCUGACUGCAGGAGAUCAACCACACAUCACAGAGCUCAUCUCCCGAUGGCCAGCUCUGUUCCAUGAGAGACAGGUAAUCGCACAACUGAAUUAGUUCCACCAGGAGAUUUAGUGAUUUAAGACUGAGUUAACUGUGUCCUAUUGAGACAAGUUUUAUAUUCAGUCACCUCAAAUUAGGGCUGAAUUUACAAGAAUCGUCACCAAAGACCUUCUGGAAUCUUUUCUUGACGGACUUGAUGGCCUGGUUCUGAGACUGCUGGAGGUCUACAAAGCAGCAGCCAAAUCUGGAAAGAAGCAGCCACUCAAAGACACUUUGGACUGCCUUGCAAAAGAUG
Poecilia latipinna (sailfin molly) is the source of this 1129-nucleotide long non-coding RNA. RefSeq lists it as uncharacterized. NCBI's taxonomy places the organism in Eukaryota, Metazoa, Chordata, Actinopteri, Cyprinodontiformes, Poeciliidae. The transcript has 2 exons. The record is from RefSeq and is a predicted model, not a curated record.